ACUGAUACCCUGAAAGGCCGCACAGUUCAAAGCGGCCUUAUCCCAUUUGAAU
Molecule: non-coding RNA, 52 nt
Filed under: unclassified sequences
Source: RNAcentral